AUUGAACGCUGGCGGCAGGCCUAACACAUGCAAGUCGAGCGGAGCGGCGGACGGGUAAGUGAUACCUAGGAAUCUGCCUGGUGCUGGUGGAUAACGUCCGGAAACGGGAGCUGAUAGCGCAUACUAUCAGAUGAGCCUAGGUCGGAUUCGCUAGUUGGUGGGGUAAAGGCCUACCAAGGCGAGGAUCAGUACCUGGUCUGAGAGGAUGAACCGCCACACUGGAACUGAGACACGGUCCAGACUCCUACGGGAGGCAGCAGUGGGGAAUAUUGGACAAUGGGCGAAAGCCUGAUCCAGCAAUGCCGCGUGUGUGAAGAAGGUUUUCGGAUCGUAAAGCACUUUAAGUUGGGAGGCGGUACCAACAGAAUAAGCACCGGCUAACUACGUGCCAGCAGCCGCGGUAAUAC
RNAcentral lists this ribosomal RNA (407 nucleotides) under uncultured bacterium. RNAcentral describes it as "partial 16S ribosomal RNA". It matches the Rfam family "Bacterial small subunit ribosomal RNA", at positions 30 to 526 of the family's 1533-position model. The record is from RNAcentral.